AGUGAACGCUGGCGGUAGGCCUAACACAUGCAAGUCGAACGGUAGCACAGUAAGAGCUUGCUCUUACGGGUGACGAGUGGCGUACGGGUGAGGUAUACAUCGGACUCUACUUUUUCGUGGGGGGGAAAGUAGGGCAACUAACGCUAAUACGGCAUAGGACCUACGGGGGAAAGCAAGGGAUCUUCGGACCUUGCGCGAAUGAAUGAGCCGAUGUCGGAUUAGCUAGUUGGCGGGGUAACGGCCCACCAAGGCGGCGAUCCGUAGCUGGUCUGAGAGGAUGAUCAGCCACACUGGAACUGAGACACGGUCCAGACUCCUACGGGAGGCAGCAGUGGCGAAUAUUGGACAAUGGGCGCAAUCCUGAUCCAGCCAUACAGCGUGGGUGCAGAAGGCCUUCGGGUUGUAAAGCCCUUUUGUUGGGAAAGACAAGCAGCAGCUUAAUAGCCCGCUGUUCUGACGGUACCCACAGAAUAAGCACCGGCUAACUUCGUG
Molecule: ribosomal RNA, 492 nt
Filed under: uncultured bacterium
Lineage: Bacteria
Description: partial 16S ribosomal RNA
Rfam family: Bacterial small subunit ribosomal RNA
Source: RNAcentral